AUUGAACGCUGGCGGCAUGCCUUACACAUGCAAGUCGAACGGCAGCGGGGGAGAAGCUUGCUUUUCCUGCCGGCGAGUGGCGAACGGGUGAGUAAUACAUCGGAACGUGCCCUGUAGUGGGGGAUAACUAGUCGAAAGAUUAGCUAAUACCGCAUACGACCUGAGGGUGAAGGUGGGGGACCGCAAGGCCUCAUGCUAUAGGAGCGGCCGAUGUCUGAUUAGCUAGUUGGUGGGGUAAAGGCCUACCAAGGCGACGAUCAGUAGCUGGUCGGAGAGGACGAUCGGCCACACUGGGACUGAGACACGGCCCAGACUCCUACGGGAGGCAGCAGUGGGGAAUUUUGGACAAUGGGCGAAAGCCUGAUCCAGCGAUGCCGCGUGUGUGAAGAAGGCCUUCGGGUUGUAAAGCACUUUUGUCCGGAAAGAAAUGGCUCUGGUUAAUACCUGGGGUCGAUGACGGUACCGGAAGAAUAAGGACCGGCUAACUACGUGCCAGCCGCCGCGGUAA
This 508-nucleotide ribosomal RNA is filed under the name uncultured bacterium. Its description in RNAcentral is "partial 16S ribosomal RNA". It matches the Rfam family "Bacterial small subunit ribosomal RNA", at positions 30 to 523 of the family's 1533-position model. The record is from RNAcentral.